Molecule: ribosomal RNA, 241 nt
Filed under: Rhynchozoon zealandicum
Lineage: Eukaryota; Metazoa; Bryozoa; Gymnolaemata; Cheilostomatida; Phidoloporidae
Description: partial 16S ribosomal RNA
Source: RNAcentral
AGUGCUAAGGUAGCGUAAUAAUUUGUCUUUUAAUUGAGGACCAGUAUGAAAGGCAUAACGAGGUUCAACAGUCUCCUGUUGUACAAAAAAAAAUUGAUUAAAAAUUGAAAAAUAUUUUAUAUUUAUGAAGGACGAGAAGACCCUAUAGAGUUUUAGUAGAAUGUUAAAUCUACUUUUGGUGGGGCAACAUUUGAGCAAAAAAAAUCAAAAAGUAUUUAACCUCAAAGAGUAACAAAACAAA